Molecule: ribosomal RNA, 461 nt
Filed under: Bacillus sp. B61(2005)
Lineage: Bacteria; Bacillati; Bacillota; Bacilli; Caryophanales; Bacillaceae
Description: bacterial SSU rRNA
Rfam family: Bacterial small subunit ribosomal RNA
Source: RNAcentral
GGGAUAACUCCGGGAAACCGGAGCUAAUACCGGAUAGUUCCUUGAACCGCAUGGUUCAAGGAUGAAAGACGGUUUCGGCUGUCACUUACAGAUGGACCCGCGGCGCAUUAGCUAGUUGGUGGGGUAAUGGCUCACCAAGGCGACGAUGCGUAGCCGACCUGAGAGGGUGAUCGGCCACACUGGGACUGAGACACGGCCCAGACUCCUACGGGAGGCAGCAGUAGGGAAUCUUCCGCAAUGGACGAAAGUCUGACGGAGCAACGCCGCGUGAGUGAUGAAGGUUUUCGGAUCGUAAAGCUCUGUUGUUAGGGAAGAACAAGUGCGAGAGUAACUGCUCGCACCUUGACGGUACCUAACCAGAAAGCCACGGCUAACUACGUGCCAGCAGCCGCGGUAAUACGUAGGUGGCAAGCGUUGUCCGGAAUUAUUGGGCGUAAAGGGCUCGCAGGCGGUUUCUUAAG